UGAGUCGGCCAGACGGUCGCGUCAGGGUGCGGGUCCUCGGACCCGGAUCCUGCCGAGGAAAGUCCGGGCUCCACAGGGCACGGUGGUGGCUAACGGCCACCCGGGGUGACCCGCGGGACAGUGCCACAGAGAGUAGACAGCCUCAGGUUCGCCUGGGGUGAUGGUGAAAGGGUGGUGUAAGAGACCACCAGCAGUCCUGGUGACAGGACUGGCUAGGUAAACCCCACCGGGAGCAAGCCCGAGCAGUGUGUGUCUGACGGCGGCCCGCCGGAGCACACGGGUAGGGCGCUGGAGGCGACCAGCAAUGGUCGUCCGAGAUGGAUGACCGUCCACGACAGAACCCGGCUUACCGGCCGACUCAUCCG
RNAcentral lists this RNase P RNA (365 nucleotides) under Nostocoides sp. RNAcentral's name for it is "RNase P RNA component class A". It matches the Rfam family "Bacterial RNase P class A". Rfam says of the family: Ribonuclease P (RNase P) is a ubiquitous endoribonuclease, found in archaea, bacteria and eukarya as well as chloroplasts and mitochondria. Lineage: Bacteria; Bacillati; Actinomycetota; Actinomycetes; Micrococcales; Intrasporangiaceae. The record is from RNAcentral.